ACUACGGGUGGCAGCAGUGGGGAAUAUUGCACAAUGGGGGAAACCCUGAUGCACCGCCGCCGCUUGCGUUCCUCCUUCUUUCUUUCUUUCCCUCUCUCUCCUCCUUUCAGCACAUGACGGUACCUGAUUAAGAAGCCCCGGCUAACUACGUGCCAGCAGCCGCGGUAAUACGUAGGGGGCAAGCGUUAUCCGGAUUUACUGGGUGUAAAGGGAGCGUAGACGGCAGCACAAGUCUGGAGUGAAAUGCCGGUGCUUAACCCCGGAACUGCUUUGGAAACUGUGCAGCUAGAGUGCAGGAGAGGUAAGUGGAAUUCCUAGUGUAGCGGUGAAAUGCGUAGAUAUUAGGAGGAACACCAGUGGCGAAGGCGGCUUACUGGACUGUAACUGACGUUGAGGCUCGAAAGCGUGGGGAGCAAACAGGAUUAGAGAAAAAAGUAGUC
Molecule: ribosomal RNA, 440 nt
Filed under: uncultured bacterium
Lineage: Bacteria
Description: partial 16S ribosomal RNA
Rfam family: Bacterial small subunit ribosomal RNA
Source: RNAcentral